RNAcentral lists this ribosomal RNA (497 nucleotides) under uncultured bacterium. RNAcentral's name for it is "partial 16S ribosomal RNA". It matches the Rfam family "Bacterial small subunit ribosomal RNA", at positions 30 to 507 of the family's 1533-position model. The record is from RNAcentral.
AACGAACGCUGGCGGCGUGCCUAAUACAUGCAAGUCGAGCGCUGGAGGAUGGUACUUGUACUCACAGGGUGAGCAGCGGACGGGUGAGUAACGCGUGGGGCAUCAGCCUUUGAGCGGGGGACAACAUUGGGAAGCGAAUGAUACUACUGCAUCAAACCUUUAAACACAAGAUUCAAGUUAUAAAGAAGCAAUUGCCUCAUGAAAAGACGAUUCCGCUGUGUAUUAGCUAGUUGGGGAGGGAAAGACCCACAAAAGCGAUGAUACAUAGCCGACCUGAGAGGGUGAUCGGCCACAUUGGGACUGAGCCACGGCCCAAACCCCUACGGGAGGCAGCAGUAGGGAAUCUUCGGAAAUGGACGGAAGUCUGACCGAGCAACGCCGCGUGAGGGAAGAAGGUUUUCGGAUCGUAAAACUCUGUUUGUAGAGAAGAACGUUGGUGAGAGUGAAAAGCUGAUGAAGUGACGGUAACUACACAGAAAGGGACGGCUAACUACGUG